This 4261-nucleotide long non-coding RNA is filed under the name Fukomys damarensis (Damara mole-rat). RNAcentral's name for it is "lncRNA (ENSFDAG00000028082.1)". Lineage: Eukaryota; Metazoa; Chordata; Mammalia; Rodentia; Bathyergidae. The record is from RNAcentral.
GGUGAUAAGGUUACUAUAGUAACCCUAGCCCAUAAUAGUUAGUGGGUUUUUGCUUUAAAAGUCUGAUGCUUGCUUGCAAUAAACGUCGCCUUGAUCAGACUCUUGUGUUGGCGUCCUUCCUUUCUCUCUGCCCCAUCUCCACCCCGCUGCUCUUUCAGGUUUGAGACACUGCUGGACAGUGCUCUGCGUCGCCGGCUCUCGACAGAAGAGGACGACCACCCCCCAUAGAAGAGGAUCCUUUCCUCGCCCAGGGGUAUACAAGUAGCUGUGCUCUCCUGCUACAGCCUCCCAACGGCUCUCAGGAUCUGACUACAGUCCUGCCAUUCAUGAACAUCAUGCGCCUUGUGAUCUUGCUUUCAUGUGUGUUCUUCUACCUGAGUUCUGCCGUCAACCCUGUCAUCUAUAACCUGCUGUCUCGCCGCUUCCAGGCGGCUUUCCGGAACGUGAUCUCUCUUCCCUGCCAAAGCUGCUGCCCCCAGGGUCACUCACGAGGGCCCCCCGCCCAGCGGAACAUCAUCCUCACCGAAUGCCACCUGGAGGAGCUCAGUGAAGAGCCAGGUCCCCAGUUCCCCGGCCAGUCGUCCGUCUGCAGUGCGCCCCUGUCCACUGCCCUCUGCACCGAGCAGGCCCCGCGGAAGAGGCCGUCCCGUUGGCAAGGACCGAAUUCCUCGCUGCCUCCUGCCUGCUCUCUAGUUCCUAAAGACGACGAGCCUGGCGAAGCACAGGGCCCCUCUGGAGGGCAGUUUCCCCUCUGAGGAGACUGGGCCCGGGUCAUCCACAGGCUGAGUCAGGCUAUCAGUCGGACAACCAGAGGCCACGGGCAGUCACAGGAGGAAGAGGCGUCGGUGCCGGUCUGCUCUUCGUGAUUGGAGAAGUCCACGUCAGGGCUCCUUGGCAGCAAUCUGUUUGCCCUACUGGCCCAUCCUUACAACGCGACACGACUUCUUACGGUGUCCUGAGCCUUUUACCUUAAAAGCCCCCCUGACAGCUUGGGGGAUUAUUACCCCCCACUCCUCCAGUCUCCAAUGGCAUCAGCAGUGGCUCCUCACCGGGAAUGGGAUCAGACAGAAUUUCAACUUAGAGAAGAAUAGGAACGAAGGAAGAGAGAAUGCCAAGGUGGCAGGCUGAAAGAGACACAAACUACACCAAGCAAAAACCUAGCCAUUUUCAUAACUGGGUCCAGACAUGGACUUACAAUAUCUAACUUAUAAAUUACAUCACUGCAUAUGAAUCUCUAGUCAGUGAAGAUUAAGUGGAAAAGACUCAGCAGAACAAAUCCCCAGAACUGGGGGAAAUAUCAAUCUCUUUCACGCCUUUACAGGGGAAACAUUUUGAGAAAGAACCUAGUAGAGUCAUUAUCCUUAAGGUCAAUCCCCAGUGACCAGGAAUAAAAGUGCCCCCACUGUUAGGGGAUGGAUACAAAAAGAUCCAACACUCAAGGUGCAACUAGUAAUUGUGUUGCUCGACUAAUAUUUUAGUUGCAUUUUUGGUUGCUCCUCACUUAUUUUUUUCUCUCAAAAUUUGUUAUUCACUCAUUAAUUCCACCAAUCAACAAAUCUCCAGUGAUGAGUAGGUUCUAUGCAUCGUGCCAGGACAAAAAUUUCCUUGCCUUGCAAGUUUACAUGGAGCAAAAAGUAAAACUGUCUUUGAAAAAAAAAAUCACUGGGCCGGGGAUUUAGCUCAGUGGUUCGGUGGCCUGCCUUGCAAGCACAAGGACCCAAGUUCAAUCCCCGGUACAAAAAAAAAAAAAAAAAAAAACNNNNNNNNNNNNNNNNNNNNNNNNNNNNNNNNNNNNNNNNNNAAAAAAAAAAAAAAAAAAAAAUCACUAUAUUAAAAUCACUUAAAUCUAAUCGUCAAGUGUGCUAUAAGAUAUAAACAUUAGUACUGUGAGAUUGCACACAAAGAGGUCUGCCCUAGUCGGAAAUUUCAAAAGUUCUGUUAAGCCUGGUCAGAACCUAAUUUGACCUACUCUGGAAGCAUUAAGGUAAAAAAGAAAACCAGGGUUGAUUGUGUCUUAGUUCAUUUAAAUACAUACAUCACACACACAUAUAAAUAUAGGACAUAUUUCAAAAUUAAAAUUGAAAUGUUAUAUAAUAGUUCUCACAAAUUGGAACAAAGUAAAGUAAGAAAACUAAAUUGUAUAAUGCCAUUAAUUGCUGACCUCCUGAUUUUUCUUGGAUUUCUUAUGACCUCUUAAUUUUAGGCCACAGAAUGACAAAAGGGCCACGGAGUAAACAUGAUUAAUAAAACAUCGGCAAUUUAACACUUAUAAGACAGUGACUUUUGAGCUCUUCAGUUAUUCACAAAGUUAGGGAACUGAAAUAAUGACAUUGAGAAUGUUGCCUGGCACAUUAGUUGUCCCAACUUAAAUAAUCAAUAUAAUUCCUAAUCUGAGACCAAUGAAAUUGUACACAAAAUGAUCAGCGCCUCAAAGUUGUUUGUGACUCCAAUUAUUAAAACCAGCAUUGUAAAGUACCCUUACAUGUAAUACAAAAACUUAAUGGAUGUUUUGAUUGAAUAAAGGCAUGGAAAGAUCAUUUAAAAGUACCAUUUUUCCAGCCUACAGUUCUAGUAUGCAUAAGCACCAUUGGUGUGCUGGUGGCUGGCUUGAAAUGACCCACUGAAGCUUAUGAAAAUAUUUAGGAACUUUGCAAGCCUGUUGCCAAAGAAAUGGUGCUGGAAAUCAGUCACAGUGGAAAUAUUUAUACCAAAGAUCUUCACAAACACUCUAGAUCAUAUUUUUUUUCUCCUCCAGAUAACUGGCUUAUCAGCAGUCCAUUCACAAUUAAGAAGCUGGCAUUCUGCCAUCUUGCUGUGAUAUAUGUGAUUUGUUUUCAGAAUAAAUGUUCAGUAGCACUGUUAUAAUUAGACUGCUGAAAAUUGUGGGUCUCUCACCAGGGAGGAAAGAAACAGUCACUGAACCAGAUUUGUCACCCAAAGUCACCAGACGAAAUAGACUAAAGAACGAUAAUCAUGUCACAAAAGCCUCAUCUGCAUUUUAUAAUUAACCUAGAGUGGGAGCAUCACUCUUAGAUGUUGUCCACUAAUAUGAGCAUAGAAAACAGCACCAGUAGUACAUGCUAUCUUCCCUAUACAUCCCUUUUUAAAUAUCUCACAGGAUUUACUACAAAAAGAUACAAAUUUUCCACAUUCUUCUCUACUGGCUGGAGCCCUUUCUUCUAAACUUGUAGAAAUACAUUAUAAAAACAUUGUGAUGGAGUUUACUAUUACACUUGCUUAUGGAAGCCAGAGCCAAAGCAAACAUCAAACACCAUCCAGGUCAUCAUCUUGAGACCAUAAUUUUAAGGGAAAUAAAUCACACACGCAAGUUUCAAUAUCACAUCAUUGCUUUUGCGUGAGAAACCCAAAGGGCAAACAAGGAGCAAAAUGAAGAAUAUAUAUUGGGAACUGGGAAGAACUUGUUCACAUGACAAGAGAAACAAGGGAAAGGGGGAGCGUGCCUUAGUUAUUCUUGUCUUGUUGCUGAGACAAAAUACCCAUCACCUACUGUUAAAAGUGAAAAGGCGCUCAUGUAGCUCACAGUUUGUACAGGUUUCAGGCCAUCUCCAGCUGUAUCUAAGGCAGGGUGGGAUGGCAGACAGCAACUGCAGAGGAGAGGAGCAACAGUGCACGGCAGACAGAAGGUCGCAGAGCAAGCAAGAGACCUGACAAGGCUGGGUGUGGUGGCGCAUGCCUGUAAUCCCAGCCCUUGGGAGGCUGAGGCAGGAAGAUCACUGUGAGUUUGAGACCAGCCUGGGCUGCACAGUGAGUUCCAGGUCAGUGUUAACUACAUAGGGAGACCCUGUCUCAAAAAANNNNNNNNNNNNNNNNNNNNNNNNNNNNNNNNNNNNNNNNNNNNNNNNNNNNNNNNNNNNNNNNNNNNNNNNNNNNNNNNNNNNNNNNNNNNNNNNNNNNNNNNAAAAAAAAAAAAAAAAAAAAAAAGAGAGAGAGAGAGAUAUGACAAGCCUCUUUCUGCACCUUAUAUUGUAUCCAUGCUACCAGGAUUAGGGCAGUACCAAACCAACCAGCAGAAUGAUUUAGGAAUCGCCUGCCCUUAAUCAUACAUUAUGCCACAAAUCAACCACACACUCUAGAUUCAGCCACCUCUCCAAAAGCCCCACCUACGACUGCACGAAGCUUUGGUGAGGACAGCCAGACACAGCCAUAGGAAAGAAGGUAAGGAAGGGCAAAGGGAUUUUAAAAACAGAAAAUAAAGAAAAAGAAUGCAGGCAAAAGCUUUUGUAAAUGGGGAGAGUCAGAA